CCUACGGGUGGCUGCAGUGGGGAAUAUUGCACAAUGGGCGCAAGCCUGAUGCAGCCAUGCCGCGUGUGUGAAGAAGGCCUUCGGGUUGUAAAGCACUUUCAGCGGGGAGGAAGGCGUUAAGGUUAAUAACCUUGGCGAUUGACGUUACCCGCAGAAGAAGCACCGGCUAACUCCGUGCCAGCAGCCGCGGUAAUACGGAGGGUGCAAGCGUUAAUCGGAAUUACUGGGCGUAAAGCGCACGCAGGCGGUCUGUCAAGUCGGAUGUGAAAUCCCCGGGCUCAACCUGGGAACUGCAUUCGAAACUGGCAGGCUAGAGUCUUGUAGAGGGGGGUAGAAUUCCAGGUGUAGCGGUGAAAUGCGUAGAGAUCUGGAGGAAUACCGGUGGCGAAGGCGGCCCCCGGGACAAAGACUGACGCUCAGGUGCGAAAGCGUGGGGAGCAAACAGGAUUAGAUACCCCAGUAGUC
RNAcentral lists this ribosomal RNA (465 nucleotides) under uncultured Klebsiella sp. RNAcentral's name for it is "bacterial SSU rRNA". It matches the Rfam family "Bacterial small subunit ribosomal RNA", at positions 338 to 795 of the family's 1533-position model. Lineage: Bacteria; Pseudomonadati; Pseudomonadota; Gammaproteobacteria; Enterobacterales; Enterobacteriaceae. The record is from RNAcentral.